RNAcentral lists this ribosomal RNA (492 nucleotides) under uncultured bacterium. Its description in RNAcentral is "partial 16S ribosomal RNA". It matches the Rfam family "Bacterial small subunit ribosomal RNA", at positions 29 to 507 of the family's 1533-position model. The record is from RNAcentral.
AGUGAACGCUGGCGGUAGGCCUAACACAUGCAAGUCGAACGGCAGCACAGUAAGAGCUGGCUCUUACGGGUGGCGAGUGGCGGAUGGGUGAGGAAUACAUCGGAAUCUACUUUUUCGUGGGGGAGAACGUAGGGAAACUUACGCUAAUACCGCAUACGACCUACGGGUGAAAGCAGGGGAUCUUCGGACCUUGCGCGAUUGAAUGAGCCGAUGUCGGAUUAGCUAGUUGGCGGGGUAAAGCCCCACCAAGGCGACGAUCCGUAGCUGGUCUGAGAGGAUGAUCAGCCACACGGGAACUGGGACACGGUCCAGACUCCUACGGGAGGCAGCAGUCGGGAAUAUUGGACAAUGGGCGCAAGCCUGAUCCAGCCAUACCGAGUGGGUUAAGAAGGCCUUCGGGUUGUAAAGCCCUUUUGUUGGGAAAGAAAAGCAGCAGGUUAAUACCCCGCUGUUCUGACGGUACCUAAAGAAGAAGCACCGGCUAACUACGUG